AUUGCUCGAGCUGUGGUGCCUUC
RNAcentral lists this non-coding RNA (23 nucleotides) under Cricetulus griseus (Chinese hamster). The record is from RNAcentral. Lineage: Eukaryota; Metazoa; Chordata; Mammalia; Rodentia; Cricetidae.